AGUGAACGCUGGCGGUAGGCCUAACACAUGCCAGUCGAACGGCAGCACAGUAAGAGCUUGCUCUUACGGGUGGCGAGUGGCGGACGGGUGAGGAAUACAUCGGAAUCUACUUUUUCGUGGGGGAUAACGUAGGGAAACUUACGCUAAUACCGCAUACGACCUACGGGUGAAAGCAGGGGAUCUUCGGACCUUGCGCGAUUGAAUGAGCCGAUGUCGGAUUGGCUAGUUGGCGGGGUAAAGGCCCACCAAGGCGACGAUCCGUAGCUGGUCUGAGAGGAUGAUCAGCCACACUGGAACUGAGACACGGUCCAGACUCCUACGGGAGGCAGCAGUGGGGAAUAUUGGACAAUGGGCGCAAGCCUGAUCCAGCCAUACCGCGUGGGUGAAGAAGGCCUUCGGGUUGUAAAGCCCUUUUGUUGGGAAAGAAAAGCAGCAGGUUAAUACCCCGCUGUUCUGACGGUACCCAAAGAAUAAGCACCGGCUAACUUCGUG
This 492-nucleotide ribosomal RNA is filed under the name uncultured bacterium. Its description in RNAcentral is "partial 16S ribosomal RNA". It matches the Rfam family "Bacterial small subunit ribosomal RNA", at positions 29 to 507 of the family's 1533-position model. The record is from RNAcentral.